Long non-coding RNA from Pogoniulus pusillus (Red-fronted tinkerbird), 858 nucleotides. RefSeq lists it as uncharacterized. NCBI's taxonomy places the organism in Eukaryota, Metazoa, Chordata, Aves, Piciformes, Lybiidae. The record is from RefSeq and is a predicted model, not a curated record. The transcript has 5 exons.
GGGGCAGCUGCUGCCUUCCCUCACAGCCUCGAGCUCCCCGCAGAGCUGCCUCGCCGUGAGAAGAUGGCGGAGACGCCGGGGACGGGCACUGAGGUCUUGCGGCUAACGGAGCACAGUUUCAAAUGGCACCAGGACACCCACAAUGGAAGCCCCAGUUCUGCCUCCAUGGCCACUGCAGUGUCCAUAUGGAAAUGAAGCUGCUGAGAUGACGACAGAGGACAGCAACCAGCGCCCUCACACAAAUAGCAGUGACAAUUGUGAUGACAACAGCAGCACUGUACUCCAGCAUUGAUGAAGUUCGAGGACUAUACUAAUGAGCUGAAUGCCUGUCCCAAGUGUUCUGCAUUACUGCCUGGGAGGUGCCUCGGAAAAGCCUUGCUGCGAAGGUGGUGGUGAUGAGCUCUAGAUGUACACAAUGGCUGGGUGAAAAGACUUCCAACGGCUGUCAGAAAUUGCAGUCUGUGUUUUUGUGAAAAGAAUGAGAACACACACUUUGACUUAAUGAGGAUUUCUUGUGGACAAAGGUUACCAUUGGCUAGAAAGAGGUUUGGAGCCUCUCUCUUAAAAGCAGUGUUUAAAGGCAGAGAUUUUACAGGAUGGUGCUGACUGCUUGCAUGGGUGUAUGUGGAAAAUCUCUCAAGACUCAUCCAGUGCUGAAUUAGAUGGAGUCAUGCUCACAUCAGCGAGGCCAGGAGGAUGGUCCCAAUAAGGCAAGAAAGGAAAGAAUGUGAAACAGGAGGUAAGAUACUGGUGAAUCACUGCCAAUCCUAAGGGUGUGCUUACUCACCUUGCCAGAAAGAAAAAAGGCAGACUAGAAGUGGCACAGCAUUUUAUCCAAAGAAAUAUUAAAAAAUAAUC